AUGGCACGGGAAGAACCUGAUACCCGCUGGAACGAAGUAGGGUCUAUCAACUGCUAUGCCCUGUUCAUGGCCUACCUGUUGAUGGCUGUUAGGGGGCUGGCCUACCUCGUCAUUACCUGGUCCACCGUCGUUCUGCUAGGCGGCUUCGUCUCCAAUCUGGGGAAGAAGGACUUUUGGUCCCUCACCAUCAUCACCCUCGUACUAACACCUCGGGUCUCUGCUGAUGUCGGUCUGAAGGAGAAGUUAAAAUAUAUGGGGUACUCGUUCUAUGGCCUCUACCUUGCUAUAGUUGGAACUCUGACUCCAAACGAUGACAAUGACUCCUGUCCACGCCUACUGCUAGCAGUUGUUGUGUGCUUGUGUCACCUGCUUUUGGUUCCCAUAGUAGUGUGCCCUCUAGCGGCACUCUACGUGUGUGGGCCGCUGUUGAGCGCCUGCAUUUCUAUCUGGCGUCUAAUACAACAUGACUACGACAACGGCAAGGAUGAAUAUUCACACCUGCAGCCGGCCCUGAAUGUCUUGUACUCACUGGCUGUGUUGCAGGGUUUGCUCUUCUGUUACAGGCUCGCUGAUCGACGUCUCUCAGCAGCAACUUGA
Molecule: ribosomal RNA, 597 nt
Filed under: Triticum aestivum (bread wheat)
Lineage: Eukaryota; Viridiplantae; Streptophyta; Magnoliopsida; Poales; Poaceae
Description: partial small subunit ribosomal RNA
Source: RNAcentral